This 588-nucleotide ribosomal RNA is filed under the name Maudiozyma saulgeensis. RNAcentral describes it as "Kazachstania saulgeensis partial 5.8S ribosomal RNA". The stretch from base 203 to 356 matches the Rfam family "5.8S ribosomal RNA". The record is from RNAcentral. Lineage: Eukaryota; Fungi; Ascomycota; Saccharomycetes; Saccharomycetales; Saccharomycetaceae.
GGCGGGAGAUGUUUGCGAGCCUGCGCUUAAGUGCGCGGCAAGCGGUGUCUCCAAUUCACGCUGGUUAUUCUUACACACUGUGGAGUAUUUUCUACUUUUAUUAUCGAGGCGCUUGCGCUUCAACACCAAAACACAAACAAUCUAUUUUUAUUUUAUACCUAGUCAAAACAAAUCUGUCUCUGACAGUAACCAAAAUAUUCAAAACUUUCAACAACGGAUCUCUUGGUUCUCGCAUCGAUGAAGAACGCAGCGAAAUGCGAUACGUAAUGUGAAUUGCAGAAUUCCGUGAAUCAUCGAAUCUUUGAACGCACAUUGCGCCCCUUGGUAUUCCAGGGGGCAUGCCUGUUUGAGCGUCAUUUCCUUCUCAAAUACUUGUAUUUGGUUGUGAGUGACACUCUGUUUUUCUGAGUUAACUUGAAAUUGUUGGCCGCGGGCCAUUGCAGCUAGUGUUAUUCUGCGUCUUUCGCAGGGGCACGGCAUGUCGUAUUAGGUUUUACCAACUCCGGCACGUUGUCCUCUGAUCCAAACGGAAGUAGUAGAGCAUUGCUUCAAGCCCUGGCAAACAGUACUCUUUAAGUUGACCUCAAA